AAUUUGUAAGUACCCCCUCUCGUUUUGUAACAAAAAAUUCUUCUUUCGUUUUUCCCUCUUAUCUUGGCGCCGUUUUUUUCCCCUUUAUAUCCGAGACACGACGACUGUCCCAAGCAUCUAGAAACAUAAAACCGCCGGCGUUGGCGGCGCAGCCCCAUGCGACGGCGUUAUCCCCGUCCAGCUUCAGCACGGAGAACUUUCUGAAUUUGGAUUCACUUUAACACGUUAAUUCUGCUUCUCUGCUCAUUACUCAUUUGAUUUCCGACUUUCCCCAUCGAUUAGCCCGAAUCCCGAAACCCUAACACCAGCGAUGGCGACGGACACAUCGGUACCCGACAAUGUCGACGAAUACUCGCCUUCUUCAACCGUCAUCAACUUCGACCGCCCCGUUCCCUUGCUCCGGGGACCGUUACCGGCGGGUCCCUCCGACGACCUGUCGGAGGGUCCGUACGUGCUGGCCUUCCGAGACUCGCGCGCGUGGGCGUCCUCGUUCACGGCCUGCGAGCGCAAAAUCGUGGAGCAGUGCGAGGAGGGGGCGAGGAUCGGGUGCGCCGUGAGCGCUUCGCGAAAGUGCAUGCCUCCGUGGUGGAAGGCUCUGGCGGGUCCCAAACUCUCCGAUCUGAAGGAGCGGGAGCAGUGCGAAGUGCGCGAGAUGGCGGAAUGUUUCGCCGCGGCGAAGGAGAAGUGCGUUGGCUUCGCCAGGGACAAGUGUGUGGUUCCCUUCAGGGACGCGCGGAUUAGGGUUAGGAAAGGGGUUUUGAGUUACAAGGAUGCUGUGAAGUUGAUUGGUUGGGCUUCGAUGUCUGGGAGCGAGAAGAGCUUGUGGUUGAUGAGUCAGUUGGGUGGUGGUGGUGAUUUGGGAGUGACCAAUUGCAGGGCUAGUGAGUUGGUGGGAUCUGAUUAUUAUGUGCAAUGCGUUUUGGGUGAGCGGCAACAUGGCACCGGAAACUGAGCUUAAAUUUGUCCUUUGACACCGGAGUUAUCAGAAUUGUCAUCUCACACAGCAUAGUGAAUCAAGUAUCCAGUUCGUUUUCCAUGCUCCUCUCUGCAUCGGAUGUCCAUCGAUUAACCUCUGGUAAUUUCAAUUCAGAAGUUAAACAAAUUAAUGGUUCCUUUAGCCACUUGGGAAUAGCUCAGGUAUCAAGGGAGAAAUUAGGGUUGGGUUAGAAGUCAUAAGAUUAUUCUUGAAUGUAAAUCAAUGAAGCUUCCCAUUUUUUUGGGUAGACUAGCAUGUUGGGGAAAGAUGUCCCGAUGUCUUCUAUUACCCAGGGUUUUAUGGGCCAAAUCUCUUUUGCAUGUUUUGGCCCACUAGAGUUGCUGGCCUGAACAAAGUUUAGACACUUGGUAAUUUCGCUUGCCAAACAUGAAUGUUGGACAACUGGAUAGGGUUGGGCCUAUUUCUAUUGACCAUUCUCCUUAAAGUCAUCCCUUUUCUUUCUCUCUCUCUAAUUGCAAUUUGCAAACGGGGCCUUCUCAAUUUGUUAAUUUCUAAUACCUUUGACAUUGUGGGGCAUUUAGUUUGUGAAAUAUUUUAUCAUGUGGGAAUUUUACUUGUACUCCCAUGUUCAUUACAAGUUUCCAAAAUAAAAUUGCAUGUAAAAAUGAUCCCCAAGAAUAAUUUAUUAAAUUACACGUAUACUGUUAGGCCUUGCAGAUAUGAUUGCAACUUUGCAACAUUAGGACUAUAUUGGAAUUUGCAUUAUAUAAUUUAUUCCUUCACUCCAUCUUUAGCUCUCAAACAAGGGGAGGGAAGAGAGUUCCCCUGCUGUAUUCACUUAAACAUCCAAGUGGAAGUAGCUCUUGCCCAACAUCAUAAGCUAUAGACUUUUUACUUUUAAUUGAAUUAGAAGUAUUUGAUAAGAUUAACCUAUAAGUUAGUUGAUAAAUGUAAAAUAACAUAAAAUAAUUUUUAUGAUAGACAAAAUUAUUUCUAAAUUAUAAAGGAUAUUUUUUUUUUCAAGUUAAUUAAUAAGAAUAAAAAAUAAAAAAAGAGGUUAAGAACUUAUAAGGUAUGAAUUAUUUCAAUUAGUUUAUAAAAAUAAGUUAAAAGUUACUAAAAUAUUUUUUUGUAUUAAACAAAUUUAUUUUUAUUAAAUUAACUUAUAAGUUAAGGAGCUUAGCUUCUAAUGUCAUGCCAAAUACAUUCUAAAUUAGCUUAGCUUGGCUUAGUUUAAUUUUUUCUUUCUUCAUGUUUGGGCUCAAACCAAACUGAACUUAUGAAACCUGAUUUUCAUUGGUUCUGAUCUCUAGUUAUCAUUUUAUAAAUAUGAUGACCUGAUCCAAUGAUAUUAGUAUUAUUGUUUUAGGAAAUUAGUUUUAUUACACAUAAUUCUUGAUAACCAUUUUAUGCUAGUCAUUAUUUAUUUGGAUAUUGCGAUUCAUUCAAUAAAUAGAUGAGAACUCACUUGUAAAAGAGGAACAGCAUGGAAAUAUAGAGGAGCGGGUAGGUUAGAGACGUUUAGAAUUUGACAUUGUUUAGUGAGGAUGAAAUAUAAAGAAAUCAAAUUAAAAGUAUGUGGGUCUCACAUAAAAGAUUUUUCGUGCAUAGAAAAGGAGAAAUAGCGGGGAAGUGUGAGAAAUAACUGGGAGUGCAUUUACUAAAAAAAAAAAAAAAAAA
This is a non-coding RNA of Cajanus cajan (pigeon pea), 2617 nucleotides long. Lineage: Eukaryota; Viridiplantae; Streptophyta; Magnoliopsida; Fabales; Fabaceae. The record is from RefSeq and is a predicted model, not a curated record.